GGGUGCUUGAGCGCAAGGCGCACCCAGAAACCCUUUGUGAACUUAUACCUUACUGUUGCCUCGGCGCAGCCGGCCCCCCUGGGGCCCCUCCUUCUGGAGGAUCAGGCACCCCGGCAGCUAACCCCUCUCUUGUUUGGACUGCUAAACUCUAAAAACAAUGCCCCAAUAACUCACAACGUUCAACAACGGAAAUGUCGGUUCUAGCAGCGAUCAAUAACGCAUCCCAAUGCGAUCAGUGAGGUGAAUUGCAUAAUUCAAUGAAUCAACGAAUCUUUGAACGCACAUUGCGCCCUCUGGUAUUCCGGAUGGCAUGCCCCUUCAAGCGUCAUUUCAACCCUCAAGCCUGGCAUGGUGAUGGGGCACUGCUUUUACCCUACAGCAGGCCCUGAAAUUCAGUGGCGAGCUCGCCCGGACCCCCACCGCAGUAAUUAAACCCUCCCUGUGGACGGCCCUGGCCGUACCCUGCCGUUAAACCCCCAUUUACUAAAGAUUUCACGUCGCACCAGGUGCGAGUACCCGCUAAAAUUCCUCCAUAAAACGC
This 541-nucleotide ribosomal RNA is filed under the name Phomopsis sp. AR3. RNAcentral's name for it is "eukaryotic LSU rRNA". The stretch from base 175 to 328 matches the Rfam family "5.8S ribosomal RNA". The record is from RNAcentral. Lineage: Eukaryota; Fungi; Ascomycota; Sordariomycetes; Diaporthales; Diaporthaceae.